UCCCCCCAAACCUCACAUAAAAUAUUUGAACCUUGUAGGCAUACGCACACCUUAAGGCAUUGCUGAAUUCUGCCUAUGAGUAGUAAUCUAAUGACCUAUUUUCCAGAUCUGCAGUAGCUAUAAACAGCCCAGCGUGACCCUCAGCCCCAGAUGUGUAAAAAGCUUUGGAAGCAAUCUCGAUUAGAGGAGCCAUACCUCAUGUGACUGUCAGGUCUGACCAUCUCUCCUCUGAAGCCUAAAAGGAGGGAAGCCCAUAGCUGGAAAGAUGUGAAGAUUCCCAGUGCAAUUUAUGCUGGCAUGGUUUCUUCACAAACAAAGAUAAUCCUUCACUUGAUGUUUCACUUCACUGGCUUGAUCCUGCAAAACUCUGCUUGUCUGAGAAUGAGUUACACAGAGAAAAAGUGCCUAGCAAUCAAAUAGCUUACAGAAAAAAAACACCCUCCUUUUGAAUGGAAACAUGAGGUAACUGAAACUCAAGCACUACCAGAAUGCACUCUGGCUGGCCAGAGAGAAUUGAGCAGGUAAGGGAUGCCAGCACUCA
This 541-nucleotide long non-coding RNA is filed under the name Chrysemys picta bellii (western painted turtle). RNAcentral describes it as "lncRNA (ENSCPBG00000008464.1)". Lineage: Eukaryota; Metazoa; Chordata; Testudines; Emydidae. The record is from RNAcentral.